AACGAACGCUGGCGGCAUGCCUAACACAUGCCAGUCGAACGAGCCCUUCGGGUCUAGUGGCGCACGGGUGCGUAACGCGUGGGACCCUGCCCUUAGGUUCGGAAUAACUCCCCGAAAGGGGUGCUAAUCCCGGAUAUUGUCUGCGGACCAAAGCUUUAUCGCUUUUGGGUGGGCCCGCGUUGGUUUGGCUAGUUGGUAGGGUAAAAGCCUACCAAGGCGUAGAUCCAUUGGUAGUCUGAGAGGAUGAUCAGCCACACUGGGACGGAGACACGGCCCAGACUCCUACGGGAGGCAGCAGUGGGGAAUAUUGGACAAUGGGCGAAAGCCUGAUCCAGCAAUGCCGCGUGAGUGAUGAAGGCCUUAGAGUUGUAAAGCUCUUUUACCCGGGAUGAUAAUGACAGUACCGGGAGAAUAAGCUCCGGCUAACUCCGUG
RNAcentral lists this ribosomal RNA (433 nucleotides) under uncultured bacterium. RNAcentral's name for it is "partial 16S ribosomal RNA". It matches the Rfam family "Bacterial small subunit ribosomal RNA", at positions 29 to 507 of the family's 1533-position model. The record is from RNAcentral.